AGUAGGUCUCUGAGGAUCAUCUGUCUGAGUUUGAACGAGUCACUUAAGAUCAUCUUUGGUAUGUCUAAAUGGGUCACACAAUAUCAUUGUCCGCGUACUUUUGCAAACUAGGUAAACUUUUAUUAAUACACUGUUUCUUAUUAAACUGGACUUAGGGGGCCCUCGGAUAGCUAGGGUGUGUCAGGCAACCCUAGGUAGAAACCAAGCAUAUCCAAUGUGUGGGCUCUACUACCUAAAAACUUCGUUAGAACAAUAAUUAUCUCACCAUCUAUAAAUGAAAAGGGAAUUUAGCAUAUACUAUAAUUGAUUUCGGUUGAUCAAGUACUAGACUAUGAACCAAAAGUCGGUAUUCAAGUGUUUAUUUACUGCCAAAUAUAUUUUCUAUUAUUUAAUCUUAUUAUCGGAGAUCCUAAAACCUAUAAAUGUACAUCAAUAUCAACGAAAACACUUAUUCAAUACUCAACUAUUUAUUAUUAUUAUUACUACUACUACUUUAGCCCUAUAGUGAUUGAGCAUCCGAUAGUCUUCUGCAAGAGUACUUUCUUCGUAACUAAUCAGAGCUUAUUUUCAAGGAGUCUACGAGUUUGGAAAGGAGACUUCAUUCUUUUCACACCUUGUUUAUAGUGACGCCUCCUUUCAAUAAGAACGCAAAUUAUGAAUGCUCUGGUUUGGAGUCUCCCAACAACUUUGAACUAGAAUAUUUUAGAGCUCACUACAAGAUAGGUAAAACUGUUUCUACUUCUGCAAAUUCAAACAAUUAGGAAUCAAAGAAGCACCACUCCAUUGGAGGAUGAUGGCGAGACUUCCACCUUGCAGCAAGUCACAGAGAAUAGGCAACCCGACAAGAAGAAGAAUUUCUCCUUAGGGAAGUAGAGGAAAAUCGCCUCCGUGUAAAAGAAUCUUUGAAGGCUCAUGAGCAACUGAUUACACCUGCGUAAGCUGUUCAAAAAGCCAAGGCAGUACCAUCAAUGUUUUGGCAAACAAAGAAAUCAAAUCUAGUCUUUACUCCCGUAAGAUAACCUCGCUUUAAUACUCUGGUCCAAACAUUUGAGGGAACAUUGGCUUGAAACUAUGGACAUUGGGUUGUCUAAUUCAAGUAUGACAAAAUCUUCAUUAAUUAUGGCAUCUACCAUUUUUAUGUUAGUUUUAGUUUAUAGUUUUCAAUGUCGCCCCUAAGUCUAUGUUGAGGGAGAAAUUAGUAAACUCAACUAAGCUUGCCUUUAUUGAUUUUCAUCUCAACAUAGAUUGAGUGACUACACUAAAAACUAAACAAAAUGAAAUAUAUUAUAAUUAAUGAAGAUUUUGGACGCCAAGCUUGACAACCUACUUGAAUUAGAUAAACCAAUGCCCAUGAUUUCAAGGCCUUAAAAAAUUUGAACAAAGAAAUCGCAUAUGGUGUUUACACCUUGGCUGACAACCCGCUUAGAUAGUUUGGUUUAAAUAUCAAAGCGGAUAUUGGCUUCAAAUUGUGGAUAUUGGGUCAUCUAAUUUGAGCAGGUUGUUGAGUUUGGUGUCCAAAAUCUUCAUUAGUUAUAGCAUAUCACAUUUUGUCAGUUUUUGUUUUUAGUUUAUAGUGCCGCCCCUAGGUCUAUGUUGAGUAGAAACAGGUUAACCAACCCCAUUGAUAGGAUCGUGGAAAUGUAUUCUUCAAAUAGAGAAGAACUUGAAGAAGCUUCAUCAAAGAAUACAAAAAUAUAAAAAUUACAUAAGUCUAGCGCAUUACAAAAAUAUCUUGAAAAGAGGCAUAGGUUAGAAUAACUUGUUUGAAUAUUAGAACAAGGCUAACUUAGGUUAAAAUAACUUACCCUAGGUGCCUAUGUGUAAAAUGGAAUCCUACAUCUCCAUUUAGCUUUGAUAGGAUGUGACUCCAGCUAUAAAAGGAGGUCACCACCCUAUUUACAAAUCACCCUAGAGAUAAAAAUCAAUUUUGAGCUUUGAAUAGCUCUUGUGUUUUUUUGAGAGUGUUGCUUGCUUGGUUGAGUUUUCUUAAGUGAAAUCUCUUUCUCUUGCCUUCUUGGACCUUUCAAGAAUAAUAUCAAGAGACCUCUAAGGGUCCUAGCCAACCUCCAUAGGUUGUGUAUAUUUAGUAAGGUAAUCAUCACCCUAUCCUAUCCUUAUUCCAUUUACUUUUGUCAUCUUUUCUAUCAUCCAUUGCCUUUGUUCAUUCCAUUUCUUGCAUAUUAUCUUGUAUCUUACUAAGCUUUCAUGUCUUAUCUCUCCACCACCUAAUGCUUAUCAAGGACAACCCAAACAACCAAAAGAAGCAACAAAGCCUCAACCCCACACCCCUAGUCAUGUACCUUGUCUAGCUAUAGGUCUUGGCCAAACCACCUUUCAUCAUCCAAAUCACCUCCAAAAUUCACCAAACCCAGUUCUAAAUCUCCCUUAGGUAAUCUGCAACAAACCCCUUUCACUAGUAUCCCAAAAAGACCAAGAAAGAUAAUCAAGAACUAACUUCUUCUUCAACCUAGGUUUCACAACCUUACCGUCUACUCCUUCCAAGAACCUAUCUUAAACUCAUCUUGAUUCAACCAAGAACCAUCCUAGGUCAGUUUAUAACCCUUGCCCCACUUGUCCUACCCCCCUAGUGCUAGCCGAACCAUAAACACCAUAGAAAGGAACCAACGACUAACCUUCUUGGAAGCUUAGUUUCUUAAGGCUUGUGUUGCACCUUUGAAGCUUGUACUGAACUUUCCUUGUCAUCUUUGUGAACCCAAGUGUGUUCCCAUCAUCUAUAGUGGGUGCCAAAAUGUUCUAUAAUCAAUGAACAUUUUGGAUAUUAAACUCAGAAACCUUCUCUAAUUAGUCAACCCAAUGUCUACCAUUUCAAGCCUAUAUUCCCAUAAAAUAUUCAAACCAAAGUAUCAGAGUGGGGCUCACCAGAUGCAAUUUCUUUGUUCACCAAAACACUCAUGUCAUAUCUAUGCUUUGUUCAUUCAACACCCAAUUUAAGCUAACGUCUGAUAUGACUUCAAGACAAUUAUCAAUUGAAACAUAGUCAUAUAGGCUUCUUGAUGAAGCAUACGUUUUAGUUUAUUCGUCACCAAAUUUAUACUUCUCGCACAAUGUAAUCAUUUUUGGUGUAUUAUCAUAACAUUAUUUAAGAAUUCGAGACACAACAACUUUGUGAAUUAUAUGUUUGAAUAAAUAGCUAUUAUGGAGGUACACUUUUAUUUUGACAAUAGUGUUGAAGUGGACAUUGCAUUUGAUUUAGCGCAAACUCAAUGUAUAUAAGGGAUGAUAGGUUCUCAAUUGAAGACUCAACAAAUUUGCUAUAAUGUUUAGUUUGAGCAACAUAGAACAUCCAUCCUGAAAACUUUCUUCGAGUACAUGAACAAUAUCUUGAUCUGGUCUAUAAUGAGCACUCUUGUUUUAAUGUAUGUGUGGUGAUUUGUCGAAAUUCAUCCUUGUUACAUGUUGUUAAGUUAACUUAUGAAAAUACUCGUCUUGUAGAAACACUUAAAACAAUGAUGUGUAGUGGGACUCCACAUUACAUUAGAUAUUUGUGUGAGAAUGAUUAACAUUAUUUGCUUGACAAGGCAUAUUCCCUAUUCUCAUAACUGUCACUCCUUAAGUCGAACACGAGCACAAUAACAAGCACCAAGAAACACAUAACACUCUACAACGCAAUGACAAGAAUUUCAACAACAUUGAAGGCAAACAAAUUGAAAGAAGGAUUGUGGGCGUACAUAUAAUGGAUUCUUGGAGACGAAAUAUGCAAAUACCUGGCAAAGUCAAAAACAGUAAAAGAAGGCAAAGGACAGUUGAUCCUCUUUAGAAGUGCCUUACAUCUUCCUUUUAGAAAGGUUUUGUCCUUAUAAUUGCGUUGUUUCAUGUGCCUUACAUCUCUUUAAGUGUGCUUGCCACAUGCGAAACCCUUUGAAGUGAACAAUGUGAUGUUUCCUUUUUUGUUCAUGACUCAUUAUGGAAAAGUUCUAGAACUAUUCUAUCAUUUCACUACCUUAGUCAAGUUCUGAUUAGGUGUGCCAGAGCCUAUCCAAUCUCAUUACUGCCUAGGCUCAAGACUGAGGAAAACCUAAAACAAAUUCUGACUACUUUAGUUGGAGCUUAUCUAGUCUAUUCCUCACUUUGGCUCGAGGCUGAGGCAUUGUGUAUGCUCAAACAAAUUGUGACUAUGUUAGUCGACUAUGAGUUAGUUUCCUAGGUUCAUCGGUAUGUGCUCGAACGUGUCAUUGAAUACCAUUAUACAUGCACCUUUACAAACUAAACAAGCUCCUGAUUAAUAAAACACGUUUCCUGUUAUACCAUAUCGCCUCGAUCUUAAGCCCCAAGGCUAGUGUCAAGCAACUAUCUUUGAAACCAAACAUAUUGAACUUGCAAAGUUCCAUUACCCAAAAAAUUGAUUAGAACAGUAACGAUACCCACAUCUAUAAAUAAAGCGGAAAUUAACAUAGUAACUCAACUCAUUCACAAUGUUAUGGUUUUGAAGUCCCCAAUGACUUUGAACUAUUAAACAUUUUGCGUGUACCAUGGGAUAGAUAAAACUGUUCCUGAUGUGAUCUCAAAUUGAGAAGAGCAAGAAGAACCUGAGUCACCAUAAGGAGGAGUCACUACAAGGGCCCAAGAGAAAAAAAAUCAAGGAACAAGACCUUAUAAAGAACUUUCAAGAGUGUGAAGGCAUAUAAGGAGAAUGUACAAGAAGCUUGAAGAAGACAUAAGGAAUAUAAAUAGUUUUUGUAAUCUCCUUGUGAAUAAAAAUAUAGAUAUAAUAGAAUCUUUCUUUAGAAUAUAAAUAAAAGACAAGUAGUUUGGCUACAAGGAUAGUAUAAAAAAACAAGGGCCUUGGUUGGCAACUUAGAGAAACCAAGCAAGGCCUAACUCUUCAACUUCUUGUAAGGGCCUUGUUUGGGAGGCUUAACACACAAACCAAACAUUCCCUUGUUUCUUCAUAUAUGUGAGUUUUGCCUAUAUAAGCAUGAUGGCUCUCAUGCAUAACACAACAUGAGAAGAUUAAUGAAAUAGCAAGAGCUUUCUCCAGUCUUGAGUUCAAGAGGUAAGUCCUCAACCUGAGAAUAUUUUCUUGAGUUUUCCAAAUUCAAGUGGUGAUUGUCAUUUGCACUUAUCACUUUUAGAGUGGCUUGUUCUUCAUUCCUUUCUCCUUCGUGUUUGCUUGUUCUUUUUCUCUUUUUGUUCCAAAGAAUCAAACCUUCAUACUUAUAUAACCAGCUGGUUAAAUUCUUUUCAGUGGCAAGAAUAUAGGAUCUUGUCUGUGUUUAGUUUUCAAUUCCAAUUUCUAUAUUGGAUUGCCAAGAAUAUUGCUCAUUGUUUCCUCAUGGAAUUGAUUUGUUCUUGAGUUCCUAGACUCAAAGUACAUCGUCGAGACCCAUACAAGAUCAUCCAAGGUGAUUUAAGAUAUUUCAACCGAUUAAAUCACGUGUUCUUGGUUGCCAUGGAUUAAUUCUUCAAGGAGGUUCCAUUUCAAUCGCUUAGUUUUGUUAUAUUUCAUGUUUCUAAUACUUUUAUCGAUUGGUUUGGUUUUGUUGAGUUCUUGUAUAAUCAUUGAUUCUUAGUCAUCUUUUAUUGAUCCUACUUGUCUUGUUCAUACUCUGAACCUUCCUACUUAUACAAAUUCAAACAACGAGGAAUCAAAGAAAUUUCACUUGGUUUUACUGAUCUCUCCCUCAACAUAGAUUGAGCAACGACAUUGUAAAUAGGAAUUAAAACUAUCAAAAUGAUAGGUCUUGUCUUGUAAUUAAGAAAGAUUUUGGACACCAAACCUAACAAGACGCUCAAAUUAGAUGGUCCAAUGUCCACAGUUUCAAACCAAUAUUCCCUUAAAUUUUUAUAUCAGAGUAUCAAAGCAGGGCUAUCAUCCAAAGUGUAAGGACCAAAUGCGAUUUCUUAGUUUGCCAAAACACUUGUGCCUUUGUGUUGGAUUUCUGAGAUCUGCUAUGAUUUUACGACAAUUAUCAAAUGGAACUCAAACCUAUAGGAAAUUUGAUCAAGUAGAUGAUGUAACUAUUUUAAUUCAGUUGUUGAUCCUACUUGUCUUGUUCAUACUCUGAACCUUCCUACUUAUACAAAUUCAAACAACGAGGAAUCAAAGAAAUUUCACUUGGUUUUACUGAUCUCUCCCUCAACAUAGAUUGAGCAACGACAUUGUAAAUAGGAAUUAAAACUAUCAAAAUGAUAGGUCUUGUCUUGUAAUUAAGAAAGAUUUUGGACACCAAACCUAACAAGACGCUCAAAUUAGAUGGUCCAAUGUCCACAGUUUCAAACCAAUAUUCCCUUAAAUUUUUAUAUCAGAGUAUCAAAGCAGGGCUAUCAUCCAAAGUGUAAGGACCAAAUGCGAUUUCUUAGUUUGCCAAAACACUUGUGCCUUUGUGUUGGAUUUCUGAGAUCUGCUAUGAUUUUACGACAAUUAUCAAAUGGAACUCAAACCUAUAGGAAAUUUGAUCAAGUAGAUGAUGUAACUAUUUUAAUUCAGUUGUUGUUGAAUUUAUAUUUCUCACGCGUCUUAUUGUUCUUGGUGUCUUAUCCUGGCAUUAUUUAGGAAUUUGACAAAGGAUCACUAUACAAAUUAUAUGUCCAACAAAAUAGCAACUAUGAAGGCAUUCUUUCAUUUUGACACUAAUUUCAAAGUGGACAUUCCAUAAAUAAAGUUCAAUCAAUACAAUGGAUGUUAGGUUUUCAACGAACACUUAGUAAGACAACUAUAAUGUUCAUUUUGAGCAAAAGACAACAUCCUGAUAUGAAAACCUUGAGUGAGUACAGUAGGAUUUUGAUGUGGUCUAAGAUGAACGCUCCUGUUGUCAUUUCAUAUGCAACGUGAUGAUUCUUCCAAAGUCACCCUUGGUACGUGUUAUCGAGUUAGCUUCUAGUGGAACUCCACAAUACUUUAUACAUUUGUGUGAGAAACACUCGUACAAUGCAACAACAACAACAAGGUCAAACAAAUUGAAAGGAUUUGGGUGUACCUAGGAUUUACUUUUAGAGACAAAAUAUGGAAAUGUUUUGCGAAGUAAAAAACGAUAAGAGAAACAAGUAGCAACCCUUUUGUAGAAGUGAAGUAUUCUCUUUUUUUGCAAAGUUUGGGCCUCAUUGUGUUGUUUCUUGUGCCUUAACCUCAAAGAAUUACAAAAUAUUUGCAAAUCAAAGUUUGUCAUAUGUACAAACACUAUGUGAAACCCUAUUUUAAGUGAACAAUGUGACAUUUCCUUCCCCAUCACGCCCCAACUAAUGACCUUGUAUCCUGUCAUAAUGAAUGCUCUAGAGGUAUUCUCCCUCCAUUUUGCUCACUAAGACAAAUUCCAACUAGGUUAGUUGGAGCUUAUCUAGUUAAUUCGUCACCUUUGCUCGAGAGUGAGGGGUUAUGUAUCUUUAGGAUAACUCUUAGACAAAUUCCAACUAGGUAGUCAAAGCCCUUCUAUCUUUGUCGCCUAGGUUCAAGAUUGAGGGUUUGUAAACCAGACAAAUUGUGGCUAGGUUAGUCGACACUCGAUGAUUAUGAGUCAGUCUUUGUGCCGAACGAGUACCAUCGUACGUGUUCACAAACUAAACAAACUCUGAUAAAUUGGAAUUGUUUUCUAUUAAAUCGAAUCACCUAGAUUUUGGACCCCUUGUAGUUAGGGUGUGGGGCAACUAUCUUGGAAACCAAAGACAUUGAACAUGCAAAUUCCCCUGCCUAAAAAAUUGCUUAGGUACCAUCAUCUACAAAUAAAGGGAAAAUUGAUAUAAUAACUCAUUGUGAAUGAUCUAGUUUGAAGUUGUACUACUGGUAGGUAUUUGGUCUUCACGAGGGAUAAUCACAUAGAAUUCAAGGAUUCCGAUAAUAUCUCUCACCAUCAAGCAAAUGUUUAUUUACUAUUAAAUGCUAGUUACGGAGUGAAUAUGGACUAUUAAUGGGGAUCUUAUUCAUGUUAUCAUUUUAAGAAUAGACAAGAAAAUCAAUAUAAUAAGACAUAAUAAUUGAAUUAAAGAAAUAAGAGGGGAAUUAGAGUGACAAAUUUCUUAUUAUUGUGACUUAAUUACACGCACAAGAGAAGAAAACUUCGCUAUAAAUAGGAGAUUCCAGACCAAAGAAGUUCAAGACGAUAAGUUAAAGGAUCUCCUAAGUUCAUUUCUAGAUCAAAAGUUAUAUAGCAAAUUUGAUCUAGAACACAUUCAGUUUUUCAAAACGUUGGGCAUGGGUGAGGAAGAGAAAAUAGACCUCUUGACUAGUUGGAUUGGAUUGUCAUUCUAUUAGUACUGUGCCCUCUGAAAGUGAAAACAGGGUAUCCCGUGUAAACCCUCAAACGAUAUUCUCCAGAUACUGUUUUUGGCCGUAUCUGAAGGCGACUACCAACUUGAUUAGUAGUUAAUAGAAUAAUGCAGUGGUUGCAACCUCAAGGAUUUUUUUUCCUCUUUCUAAUACAAUGACGUCAUUCUCAGCAGCCAUGUGUCAAUUCUUUUUUAUUAUUUACGAAGAUAUUAAAAAUCAGUAAAUCAACGAAGUGUGCGAGAAUUUCCUCCGAAGUGAUGCAAGUCUUUAUCUUAUUGCCACCUGCGCAACUGACAUGCGAAUAAUUGGGUCUGAAAAAUGAAUUCCCACGAAUAUUACCAAGUGUGCAAGGCAUCUCUUUUAAGGAGUUGACCCGGGAAUCCAAAGGAUUACUCAACUUAUGAUGUCUAUUAACCUUGUUUGUGAAGCAUAAUUUGUGGUUCACUUCUAUUUUGAUGAGCAUCUUAUUAAACUUUCUUUCUGUUGAUUAAAUAUAAUAUUGGAAAUGCACAAAAAAUAAUUUCUCUGUUGAUUAUUUAUUGUAUUUAUUUCUUUAGCACUUUUUUUUUCUGUUGCCUAAGUUUUUUAUUUUCGGAUUAAAUUGAAUCUUGUAUACUUGGGAUUGGGAAAUUCAGCCACUGGAACUGGUAAAGAUACAUCAGUCACGUUAUCUUUUCUGCAGCAAAUGAUUAUAUUUGGUCAUCUCAUCCCUUUAUAACAGGAGACAAUCGUAUCCAUGGCAUACAUGUCCGAGUCAUCUACUACCAUGGCACGCAGCAUAUUAAGCAAAUAGUCUACUGAAUUACUGAUAUUCACCACUAAUAUCCUUUGUUGUAUUGGCAUAAGUGUUUUUAGAGUUUGAACUGGAAUAAAUGGCGACUUUUUUGGCUUUCAGGCAAAGGCUGGAUAGCAGAUACAACUUGUAGAUACAUUAUGAAGACCUCGUGGAUAUGAUUAUUUCCCAUAAAGCUGCUGAAAUAAAGUACCGGAUAACUUGGGGACAAUGCCAAGCGGUAUGUGAAUGCUAGCUAGACUAUUUUCAGACCAUUUCAGACUAUGUAGAGCAUGGCCAAAGCUCGGGUACUGGAUUAUAACAAAUUAGGUACCUAUAUGCCAUUGCUAUCUUUUGAAGAACCAUAUCAUGCAUCAACAUGACUAAGUAACCAAUCCAAUUACAAUUUUCUCCGUUAUUCCUGGACAGGAUUUGAAAUUAGCAACUGGAUGUUGUUUAUAUGCAAGUGAUCGGUGUGGAAUUUUUCUAUUCAAUAGAUGAUUUUUAUAGUUCUUAAGUGUUAAACCGUUUACAAAUGACUGCACUUCAUUGUGUUUAGGUGCCAAACCGUUUCAGUAUGUUACAUUAUGUGUUCAUGCUUUUCUCCUGCCAAACUUGAACUAUAGCAUUUUGUUCUCUCUCUAUAUGCGUGUGUAUAUAUAUACCUAUCCAAAUCAAUGUGUCAAGCUGCAAUUUGCAGAUCCCAAUAGCUAGAUUGAGAUGAAUUUAUAGUUAUGUUGCAUUUAAAUGAAAUGGAAACAGUAUGAAUCUAUAUGAAGA
RNAcentral lists this long non-coding RNA (9773 nucleotides) under Phaseolus vulgaris (common bean). RNAcentral describes it as "long non-coding RNA (PVUL_LNC002336)". Lineage: Eukaryota; Viridiplantae; Streptophyta; Magnoliopsida; Fabales; Fabaceae. The record is from RNAcentral.